CUAUGCGCCUUGCCAGCCCGCUCAGUCAGAGUUUGAUCCUGGCUCAGGAUGAACGCUAGCGGCAGGCCUAAUACAUGCAAGUCGAACGAGCUCAGAGACUUCGGUUUCUGGGUUAGUGGCGCACGGGUGCGUAACGCGUAUGCAACCUACCUUCCACAGGGGGAUAGCCCGGGGAAACCCGGAUUAAUACCGCAUGACAUAACUGACACGGCAUCGUGUUGUUAUCAAAGAUUAAUCGGUGGAAGAUGGGCAUGCGUGCCAUUAGCUAGUUGGCGGGGUAGAGCCACCAAGGCGACGAUGGCUAGGGGUUCUGAGAGGAUGGUCCCCACACUGGUACUGAGACACAGACCAG
Molecule: ribosomal RNA, 352 nt
Filed under: uncultured bacterium
Lineage: Bacteria
Description: bacterial SSU rRNA
Rfam family: Bacterial small subunit ribosomal RNA
Source: RNAcentral